UCAAACUUGGUCAUUUAGAGGAAGUAAAAGUCGUAACAAGGUCUCCGUUGGUGAACCAGCGGAGGGAUCAUUACCGAGUUCUAAACUCCCAAACCAUUGUGAACAUACCAUUGUUGCUUCGGCGGACUCGCCCCGGGCGCCCCUCGCGGCGCGACCCGGGCCCAGGCGACCGCCGGGGGACCCAAACCCUGAAUUUUAGAGGAUCUUCUGAGUGGCAUAAGCAAAUAAUCAAAACUUUCAGCAACGGAUCUCUUGGCUCUGGCAUCGAUGAAGAACGCAGC
Molecule: unclassified non-coding RNA, 281 nt
Filed under: uncultured fungus
Lineage: Eukaryota; Fungi
Description: partial contains small subunit ribosomal RNA, internal transcribed spacer 1, and 5.8S ribosomal RNA
Rfam family: Eukaryotic small subunit ribosomal RNA (bases 1-73)
Source: RNAcentral